ACGGGUGAUUACUCGUAAUAACCCGCCCUUGGGAGGGGAACGGCUACUGGAAACGGCUGCUAAUACCCCGUAGGCUGAGAAGCAAGAUGAGGAGUCCGCCCCACGAGGGGCUCGCGUCUGAUUACCUCCUUGGUGAGGCAAUGGCUUACCUGGGCUAUGAUCUCUACCUGGUCCCAAAGGAUGAUCGGCCACACUGGGACUGAAACCCCGCCCAGACUCCUACGGGAGGCAGCCUUGGGGAAUUUUCCGCAAUGGGCAAUUUCCUGACAGAGCAAUGCCUCGUGGACGUCCAAGGCCCACGGGUCAUGAACUUCUUUUCCCUGAAAACAACCAAUGACGGUAUCCAGGGAAUACGCAUCAGCUAACUCUGUGCCAGCCGCCGCGGUAAGACAAAGGAUGCAAGCGUUAUCCGGAAUGAUUGGGCGUAAAGCGUCUGUAGGUGGCUUUUUAAGUCCUCCCUCAAAUCCCAGGGCUCAACCCUGGACAGGCGGUGGAAACUAUCAAUCUGGAGUACGGUACGGGCAGAUGGAAUUUCCAGUGGAGCGCUGAAAUGCGUAGA
This 559-nucleotide ribosomal RNA is filed under the name uncultured bacterium. Its description in RNAcentral is "bacterial SSU rRNA". It matches the Rfam family "Bacterial small subunit ribosomal RNA", at positions 102 to 694 of the family's 1533-position model. The record is from RNAcentral.